ACGGGUGAGUAACACGUAUCCAACCUGCCGUCUACUCUUGGCCAGCCUUCUGAAGGAAGAUUAAUCCAGGAUGGGAUCAUGAGUUCACAUGUCCGCAUGAUUAAAGGUAUUUUCCGGUAGACGAUGGGGAUGCGUUCCAUUAGAUAGUAGGCGGGGUAACGGCCCACCUAGUCAACGAUGGAUAGGGGUUCUGAGAGGAAGGUCCCCCACAUUGGAACUGAGACACGGUCCAA
This 233-nucleotide ribosomal RNA is filed under the name uncultured bacterium. RNAcentral's name for it is "partial 16S ribosomal RNA". It matches the Rfam family "Bacterial small subunit ribosomal RNA", at positions 102 to 334 of the family's 1533-position model. The record is from RNAcentral.